UACUUCCGGCAGUAGGAGAGAGAAACGGGCGGGGGGGGGGGGGGGGGGGGGACCGUCCAUUGAAAAUUACA
This 71-nucleotide small RNA is filed under the name Salix viminalis (osier). The record is from RNAcentral. Lineage: Eukaryota; Viridiplantae; Streptophyta; Magnoliopsida; Malpighiales; Salicaceae.